CAUACCAUUCUGAACGCACCUGAUCUCAUCUAAUCUCGGAAGCUAAGCAGGGUCGGGCCUGGUUAGUACUUGGGUGGGAAAAUCUAAAUAGAUAAUUUGUGAAAUCUGAUAAAAAAAAAAA
Microcebus murinus (gray mouse lemur) is the source of this 121-nucleotide ribosomal RNA. The record is from Ensembl. Lineage: Eukaryota; Metazoa; Chordata; Mammalia; Primates; Cheirogaleidae.